ACUCCUACGGGAGGCAGCAGUGGGGAAUUGUUCACAAUGGGCGCAAGCCUGAUGACGCAACGCCGCGUGGGGGAUGAAGGUCUUCGGAUCGUAAACCCCUGUCGAAUGGGACGAAAGACCCGGGAGCUAAUCAUCCCGGGAGUGACGGUACCGUUAAAGGAAGCCACGGCUAACUCUGUGCCAGCAGCCGCGGUAAUACAGAGGUGGCAAGCGUUGUUCGGAAUUACUGGGCGUAAAGGGCGCGUAGGCGGCCUUCUAAGUCAGACGUGAAAUCCCCCGGCUUAACCUGGGAACUGCGUCUGAUACUGGGAGGCUAGAGUAUGGGAGAGGGAUGUAGAAUUCCAGGUGUAGCGGUGAAAUGCGUAGAUAUCUGGAGGAAUACCGGUGGCGAAGGCGGCAUCCUGGACCAUUACUGACGCUGAGGCGCGAAAGCUAGGGGAGCAAACGGGAUUAGAUACCCCGGUAGUCCUAGCCCUAAACGAUGAAUGCUUGGUGUGGCGGGUAUCGAUCCCUGCCGUGCCGAAGCUAACGCAUUAAGCAUUCCGCCUGGGGAGUACGGUCGCAAGGCUGAAUCUCAAAGGAAUUGACGGGGGCCCGCACAAGCGGUGGAGCAUGUGGUUCAAUUCGACGCAACGCGAAGAACCUUACCUGGGCUCGAAAUGCAGAUGACAUCCGGUGAAAGCCGGCUCCCGCAAGGGCAUCUGUAGAGGUGCUGCAUGGCUGUCGUCAGCUCGUGUCGUGAGAUGUUGGGUUAAGUCCCGCAACGAGCGCAACCCUCGUCCUCUGUUGCCAUCAGGUCAAGCUGGGCACUCUGAGGAGACUGCCGGUGAUAAACCGGAGGAAGGUGGGGAUGACGUCAAGUCAGCAUGGCCUUUAUGUCCAGGGCCACACACGUGCUACAAUGGCGGAUACAAAGCGCUGCAAACCCGCGAGGGUGAGCCAGUCGCAUAAAGUCCGUCUCAGUUCGGAUUGCAGGCUGCAACUCGCCUGCAUGAAGUUGGAAUCGCUAGUAA
This 1013-nucleotide ribosomal RNA is filed under the name uncultured bacterium. RNAcentral describes it as "bacterial SSU rRNA". It matches the Rfam family "Bacterial small subunit ribosomal RNA", at positions 335 to 1341 of the family's 1533-position model. The record is from RNAcentral.